Molecule: ribosomal RNA, 331 nt
Filed under: Billgrantia desiderata
Lineage: Bacteria; Pseudomonadati; Pseudomonadota; Gammaproteobacteria; Oceanospirillales; Halomonadaceae
Description: bacterial SSU rRNA
Rfam family: Bacterial small subunit ribosomal RNA
Source: RNAcentral
UUAAACUGAAGAGUUUGAUCAUGGCUCAGAUUGAACGCUGGCGGCAGGCCUAACACAUGCAAGUCGAGCGGCAGCACGGGAAGCUUGCUUCCUGGUGGCGAGCGGCGGACGGGUGAGUAAUGCAUAGGAAUCUGCCCGGUAGUGGGGGAUAACCUGGGGAAACCCAGGCUAAUACCGCAUACGCCCUACGGGGGAAAGCAGGGGCUCUUCGGACCUUGCGCUAUCGGAUGAGCCUAUGUCGGAUUAGCUGGUUGGUGAGGUAAUGGCUCACCAAGGCGACGAUCCGUAGCUGGUCUGAGAGGAUGAUCAGCCACAUCGGGACUGAGACACG